UCCUUCAUUCCUCUUCCUCACCGAAAACCCGUGCGUCCUUUUUCCUUCCCCGUCGCGACCGUACCCUAACCACUUGGCGGUUCUCCUCCUCCCUUCUUCCCUUCUUCUUUUCUUCCCCCAACAGACCUCAUUAUGCCCUAACUCCUGGUCACCUUCUUCUCGCUCGGAGCAGCGCCGCCGCCACUUCUUCUUCUCUUCUCCUAAGCGCCGACGACGCUUGCGCCAGCCGUGCCCUAGAUCCACCGCCGGCCGCAACUCACAAAGCCGACGACGAGCAGUGCCGGUCCUCCCUCUUUUGUUUCCCGAUUUCCCCUUCCCUCCUCUGUGCUGAAUCCUAGUGCCCAACGCCACCUUGCCAGCCGAGUUUGAUCUGUGCUCUAGUUUCCAGAUGCCGAGUUCUUCCUCUCACUGAUUGGAAUAGCGUUAUAUGGCAGAUUAGUUUUUUAUAAUCUACUGUGGUUAAUCUUGUUUUAGCUAAGGGUUUUUAAGGAGAAGGUGUCAAGUAAGGGGGAUUCCAGUCAAGUGUUGCGCACUGUGGGGAAGAUUUCAGCAAGGAGGUUUUGCUGUGGUAUACCUUGUUUCCAGCAACAGUUACUUCGUCCAGCAGUAACUUUCCUGGCCUGUGGUGUAACAGGAGCAGCUGAGAAGUAAGGACUUUGACGCGAGACGCGUAUCUUGACUACCAGUUUGGACCUUUUUUUAUUGGAGGCGGGUACUUUUGACUUAUUGUCUUUGAUAUGCAUAGUAAUGAAAUUAACAAGUUACAUUAAUUAUGUUCCUCAUUUGUUUCGGUUAAUCACUACCCGAUUGCCUGUUACCUGCUUGAUUGAUUGUAUGUUUUGCAUUUCGAGUGGUUAUGUACCUGAUUACACAUGCUCAUAGGGGUAGUGAUAUAACCAUGUUUCCCAUGUUCAGGACCUAGGUUUGAUAUCUUAUUUGAUCAGUGUACUUUGAUAUGAUUUGUUCACUAUAGCGCACAUCAUUAUAUGUCCAUAGAUCGGUUUAGUAUAAUACCAUGCUUAGUGUUAUGCACCAUUCGCAUGAUUGCAUGCUGUGUGAUAGAUUGCUCCAUUAUUGUCGAGCACAUUACCAGUUUCAUCACUGUUCGGUGCUCCGUUGUGACGCUCAUGGGUAGCGUGACGCAGCGUGGU
Long non-coding RNA from Zingiber officinale, 1151 nucleotides. RefSeq lists it as uncharacterized. Lineage: Eukaryota; Viridiplantae; Streptophyta; Magnoliopsida; Zingiberales; Zingiberaceae. The transcript has 4 exons. The record is from RefSeq and is a predicted model, not a curated record.